GAGAGUGGGCGGCAGGAGUACUUCCGGGUGACGGAGGUCGGGCCCGGCAAGAUGGCGGCCCCCUUGGAGCUGAGCUGCUGGGGAGGCGGCUGGGGGCUCCCUUCGGUCCACAGCGAGUCCCUGGUGGUGUUGGCUUAUGCCAAGUUCUCUGGCGCGCCCUUGAAAGUCAGUGUUAUAGAUAACACCUGGAGAGGUCCCAGAGGUGAUGUGCCAAUUUUGACAACUGAAGACAGCAUUGUUUCUCAGCCUGCAAAAAUACUAAACUUUUUAAGAAAACAGAAAUAUAAUGCUGACUGUGAACUCUCAGCAAAACAAGGGGCAGAUACCCUGGCUUACAUUGCCCUCCUAGAAGAGAAGCUUCUCCCUGCCGUGCUUCACACUUUCUGGGUUGAGAACGACAAUUACUUUGCUGUGACAAAGCCAUGGUUUGCCUCCCGUAUCCCGUUCCCUCUAAGUUUGAUCCUGCCUGGAAGGAUGUCUAGAGGGGCCCUGAACAGGAUUCUCUUGACAAGGGGAAACCCACCCCUCUACCACCUCCAGGAGGUGGAAGCCCAGAUAUACAGAGAUGCCAAGGAGUGCCUGAAUCUCCUGUCAAACAGAUUGGGAACAUCUCAGUUUUUCUUUGGCGACACGCCUUGCACCUUGGACGCCUACGUGUUUGGCUUUCUUGCACCACUUUAUAAAGUGCGGUUUCCCAAAGUUCACUUGCAGGAGCAUCUGAAACAGCUUUCCAACCUGUGCCGCCUCUGUGACGACAUCCUCCACUGCUACUUUAGGCGGGGUCCUGGGGAUUCUGGUUCCUAGCUUCAAGACCUGGUGGUUUCCCCAUUCUGUCUGCCGCCAUGUUCUUAUUUCCAUGGAGAAAGAGACCUCUGACCUUCACCAUCCUCUGGACUUGACAUGUUCGUGACUCUUCUUGGAAAGUACUGCCCCCCCCCCCAAGUGAGUCGUUUUCCUCUAAAAGAUUAGAGCCCAUGUGUAGAGUCCCUGCUAAAAAGUAGUGUUUAUCUUCAUGCAAACAGGCAGUCACUCUAAAUGAUUCUUACCUGCUGCUUCCAGCAUUUUCCUUCAUGAACAGAAAACAGUAGCAGAUUGACUUUGGUGAGGUACACUCCCAUGAUUCUCCUUGAAAACUGAUUACACCAAACUGGAGAUAGAGCAUCUCUCCAGCUGGACAAGAAAUGAUAGACGCCAACCUGCAGAAACUCACCCAACUUGUAAAUAAGGAGUCCAACCUAAUUGAAAAGAUGGAUGACAACCUCCGCCAGAGCCCUCAACUUCUUCCCCGGAAGCUGCCCAC
Peromyscus maniculatus bairdii (prairie deer mouse) is the source of this 1300-nucleotide RNA transcript. It is a transcript of the gene named metaxin 3, with no coding region annotated. Lineage: Eukaryota; Metazoa; Chordata; Mammalia; Rodentia; Cricetidae. The record is from RefSeq and is a predicted model, not a curated record.